RNAcentral lists this long non-coding RNA (853 nucleotides) under Numida meleagris (helmeted guineafowl). RNAcentral's name for it is "lncRNA (ENSNMEG00000009227.1)". The record is from RNAcentral. Lineage: Eukaryota; Metazoa; Chordata; Aves; Galliformes; Numididae.
GUAAAAGGUAAGUCAGUUGGAUUUCCUGCACCUCAGGCUAAGAGGGCAAGGGCUGGAUAUAAGCCAGGCCACAGAAUGACGUUCUUUACUUGUGACUCCCACAGAGUAUUUGUAUAGCAUUUGCCUCCUUAGGUCUCAUCAGUUUGCACUACAACCACUGGAAUUAGAAAACUAAGUGCCGGUUUGGAUGCAGUGUCUCACCUCCGUGGCACCUGGAAUGCCCCCUUCCCUUCACAGUGAUCAGUGUCCCUAUGAACUGUGCAUGUUCACUGUUGGAAUCUCUGGGCAUCCUCGGGAUAGAAACUGUGGCUGCUGAUGUCUUUCUCCCAGCCCAGAGAGACAAGUGACGUCUACAUCUGUGUGCCUGCCUUCUCUGCUGGGUGUGUGUCCCUCACGUGUACCAGCCCCUGACUUCUUUCACAAACACCGAGGUUUGGGUUCCACUCUUGCUGUCAUCCUACCAUAAAUUCUCUGGGUCAGUACCGGGGGAUGAGGUGCGUGCAGUUGUUCGGAGCGUUCACUUGGGAUGCGCUGAGGCCAACAUCAAAUCAGGUGAAGCUCUAAGCUGAAACUGGGUCUUCACUGUCUCAGCUAGAAGUCCACUGAUGUCAGGACUGGCACUGGCCCCAGGAUGAGUUCUCUCCACCAUUUUUGGGGUGGCUGUCAGCAGUCUAUCAUGCACAGGAGGGAUGCUGACAGCAGCCAAAAACGAUUUGGCACAGCUCAGAAGUGCCCAGGUGACAGCCUCCUCUACCAGAGAGCUGAGGCCAGCUUGGUCUGCACCUCCUGCCAGCAGACUCAACAGCACCAGGACAGCGAGCCCCUGCUUGUCUUGGGAUUCAUCUGGACUUGA